GAUGAAGUGAAAAAUAACCCCAAGAGCACAGCGACAACUCAUCCAACAGGUCACAAAAGACCCCACAACAACAUCCAAAGAACUGCAGGCCUCACUUGCUUCAGUUAAGGUCAGUGUUCAUAACUCCACCAUAAGACGAAAACCACCACCGAGCAAAAAGAACAUGAAGGCUCGUCUCAGUUUUGCCAGAAAAUAUGUUGAUGAUCCCCAAGACUUUUGGGAAAAUACUCUGUGGACUGACGAGACAAAAGUUGAACUUUUUGGAAGGUGUGUGUCCCAUUCCAUCUGGCAUAGAAGUAACACAACAUUUCAGAAAAAGAACAUCAUACCAACAGUAAAAUACGGUGGUGGUAGUGUGAUGGUCUGGGGCUGUUUUGCUGCUGCAGGACCUGAAAGACUUGCUGUGGUAACUGGAACCAUGAAUUCAGCUGGCUACCAAAAAACCCUGAAGGCGAGUGUCCAGCCAUCUGUUUGUGACCUCAAGCUGAAGCAAACUUGGGUUCUGCAACAGGACAGUGAUCCAAAACACACCAGCAAGUCCACCUCUGAAUGGCUGAAGAAAAACAAAAUGAAGACCCGACCUGAAUCCUAUUGAGAUGAUGUGGCAUGACCUUUGAAAAGGGAGACGGGUGACAAGUCCCAUCCCCACCAGCGCCUUUCUGAAAAGUUGAGAGAUUAUCGACUUGGAUUUGCUGCACAGAGAAGGCUCUGAAAAAAGUCGGUAGAGGUAGUGCAUUUUCUCCAGGUGGCUGCUUCUCUGCUCAUUAGAAACAACUGAAAAAAGAUGCUGACGCUCAGACAGAAACACUAUGUGGACACAAAAGUAAAACACUGUAUACUGCGUGUUUUAUUUUGUUUUAUUGUACACCUAUUAGAUGAAAUCUACUUCUAGUUAAAACCAAAAGUCCAAAUAGAAUUUCAGUCUAGCUAAAUUACGGAGCUGAGCUGACUGUUAACUUAUCACAGAGUCAAAGGUCGAGUCGUACAGGACAGCUGAGAACAGGAAUCCUUCGUCUGGCUCCAGAAGACGGCAGAUUUAAAAAAGAUCCAUGAGGACAACAGACUGUGUGAAUUAGGAAAGGUCUGUUCUGUAUGAUGAGUUAAGAAUAUAUCUAAAAUCAAAUCAAACCUUUGCCUUGACCCACAGAAGAUGACGGUGGCGGGGAUCGUCACGUCUCUGCUCUUACCUCUGUUUGCUCAGAUUCAGAUCUGCUGGAUAAAAGUAACAAAACAAAACGUACGAGGGAACGUGGCAGGCUCCCAACAUCUAUUCAGAAACCAAUUGUGACAGUGUUAGACCCACUAAUCAAUGAAUGUACUCGGUGUGUCCUGUUUUGUUCGUCUGUAUUUGUAUUUUCAGCCUGUUUGAAUCCUUAGAAAGCGGUGAUGAUUUAGCAUUAACCAACAUAGAUUAAUGGGAUUUUGCUUUGUCAGUCCUGAGGCAGGAAAUUGACAGAAUCUGGGCAAGAAAUCCUCGUUUCCCGGCACCUGGAAUCAAUCCCAACCUAAUACAACACUAUGCCUCGUAUACAGCCCUCUAAAUCCUCCAUACACUCUCACAGCACUCAAGGUAACAAAAUUAAAUGUUUUCUAAUUUAAAGACAGACUUAGUGGUGAGAGGAUAGCCAUCACAUUUGUUCUCUGCUUAGUGGACCUCUGCUCGGCUACCCAGACUUCUUAAAUAAUGCAUUCUCUAUGAGGUGCCCCUGUGAUUCUGUAUGAAUUUUUAAAGUUCAAUAAACGUUUCUUAUCCACCGGCCAUACCUAAUGGCACCCAUUACUAUUUUAUGCUCAAGCAUUUUGCACAGUGUUAAAGUCUAUGGCACUGUACAGCAUUACUUCAA
Molecule: long non-coding RNA, 1844 nt
Organism: Acanthopagrus latus (yellowfin seabream)
Lineage: Eukaryota; Metazoa; Chordata; Actinopteri; Spariformes; Sparidae
Exons: 2
Source: RefSeq, a predicted model, not a curated record